CGCAUCUGUGCAUGCAGCAUAUCAAUAAGCGGAGGAAAAGAAACUAACAAGGAUUCCCUUAGUAACGGCGAGUGAAGCGGGAAGAGCUCAAAUUUGAAAUCUUCAAGGUUUUACCUUGACGAAUUGUAGUUUAAAGAAGUGUUUUCUGUUGAAGUUUUGGUAAAAGUUCUUUGGAAUAGGACAUCAUAGAGGGUGAGAAUCCCGUAUUUGACCAUUAUUUUCAGCUGUGUGAUACACUUUCAAAGAGUCGGAUUGUUUGGGAAUGCAGUCCAAAAUGGGUGGUAAAUUUCAUCUAAAGCUAAAUAUUGGCGAGAGACCGAUAGCGAACAAGUACCGUGAGGGAAAGAUGAAAAGAACUUUGAAAAGAGAGUUAAACAGUACGUGAAAUUGUCAAAAGGGAAGCGUUUGACACCAGUGUUGUUUUCUCGAAAAUCAAUUAAAAAGAGUUUGAUUUUGUUGUGUAUUGACCUUAACAGCUUGCAUUUCAAUUUUCUUGCUUUUUUUAAUGCACUUUUCGUUUAACAAGUCAACAUCAGUUUCUUUUGUUGUAAAAGGGUCAUUGGAAGGUGGCUUUCUCUUCGGAGAAAGUGUUUAUAGCCUUUGAUCUCUGCAAUCGGAGAGACUGAGGUCUGCAGCGUAGAUCCUUCGGGGUUAGAUACAUUUGUGCUAAGUUAUAGCUUUUUAUAGACAACUUGUUGACUAUGAUUAGUCUUGUAGCUUACUCGCUUAUGCUAUUUUACCUACGCUUAGGAGUUGACGCGCGUGUGUGCGUG
RNAcentral lists this ribosomal RNA (773 nucleotides) under uncultured Neocallimastigales. RNAcentral describes it as "partial large subunit ribosomal RNA". It matches the Rfam family "Eukaryotic large subunit ribosomal RNA", at positions 26 to 639 of the family's 3401-position model. Lineage: Eukaryota; Fungi; Neocallimastigomycota; Neocallimastigomycetes; Neocallimastigales. The record is from RNAcentral.